AGUGAACGCUGGCGGCAGGCCUAAUACAUGCAAGUCGAACGGCAGCACAGUGGAGCUUGCUCCAUGGGGGGCGAGUGGCGGGCGGGUGAGGAAUACAUGGGAAUCUGCUCAGUCGUGGGGGAUAACGUAGGGAAACUUACACUAAUACCGCAGGCCCCCUUCGGGGGAAAGCCGGUGACCUUCGGGCCUGGCGCGGGUGGGUGAGCCCGGGUUCGCUUCGCUAGUUGGCGGGGUAAAGGCCCACCAAGGCGGCGAGCGAUAGCGGGUCUGAGAGGAUGAUCGGCCGCACUGGGAGUGAGACACGGCCCAGACGCCUACGGGAGGCAGCAGAAGGGAAUAGGAGACAAUAGGCGCAAGCCUGGUCCAGCCAUGCCGCGUGAGUGAAGACGGCGCUCGGUUUGUAAAGCUCUUUUGUCCGGGAAGAACCGCAUCGGGCUAAUACCUCGGUGUUCUGACGGUACCGGAAGAAUAAGCACCGGCUAACUUCGUG
Molecule: ribosomal RNA, 490 nt
Filed under: uncultured bacterium
Lineage: Bacteria
Description: partial 16S ribosomal RNA
Rfam family: Bacterial small subunit ribosomal RNA
Source: RNAcentral